Non-coding RNA from Prunus mume (Japanese apricot), 812 nucleotides. Lineage: Eukaryota; Viridiplantae; Streptophyta; Magnoliopsida; Rosales; Rosaceae. The record is from RefSeq and is a predicted model, not a curated record.
CAGCUCAACUCCAAGCGCAAAUGCUGCUCUCAACUGUGGCUUCCAGUGUUGUUGGGUGUUUCAUUACACGUUCAUCAAGAGUCAGAGGCAUCCCUGAUCCUUCCUUCUUCGCCACCUCCACCAAGAUGGCUUUGGAGCAAUUUACGUUCGGCCCUUACAAGAUUGACAGCAGGGAAGUGUUUUACUCUACUCAUCUAUCCUAUGCCCUGGUCAACUUGCGUCCUGUUGUUCCUGACUUAACAUCAUGUACAUGUGCUUGUCUGCCCAAGGCGUGAAGUGAAGCGCUUUGUUGAUCUCACUACUGAUGAGACCAGUGAUCUUUGGAUCGCAGCGCAAAAGGUUGGUAGUCGGCUUGAGACCUACCACAAAGCAUCGUCUCUCACACUUACAAUUCAAGAUGGACCCCAAGCUGGACAGACUGUGCCCCAUGUUCAUAUCCACAUCAUCCCACGGAAAGGUGGCGACUUUGAGGAGAAUGAUGAAAUUUACGAUGCACUAGAUGAAAAGGAGAAGGAAUUAAAGCAAAAGCUUGAUUUAGACAAGGACAGGAAGGACAGAAGCCUUGACGAAAUGGCACAAGAAGCUGAAGAAUACAGAAAGUUGUUCUUGUAGAAUGUGGAUGUUCCUACUUGCAGCGCAAUAUGUAAUUUAUUUCUCACUGGAUAUUUUCAACCUAGUUUAGUUAUGGUUUGCGCAUUGGAUGGUUUGCUAUGGUUUUAGCUGGAUUAGAGUCCAAGCAUCAUAGUUUAGUUGUGUUAACUUAAAAUCGUAUAUUAUCAUUGAUUGCUAGAGAAAUUAUGUUUUCUUUAUCA